UACGGAGGGCGCAAGCGUUGUUAGGAAUCACUGGGCGUAAAGCGCGUGUAGGCGGCUUGGCAAGUCGGGUGUGAAAGCCCGGGGCCUAACCCCGGAACUGCAUUCGAAACUGCCUCGCUCGAGUCCCGGAGAGGAUGGUGGAAGUCCCGGUGUAGUGGUGAAAUACGUAGAUAUCGGGAGGAAAACCAGCGGCGAAGGUGGCCAUCUGGCCGGUGACUGACGCUGAGACGCGAAAGCGUGGGGAGCAAACAGG
Molecule: ribosomal RNA, 253 nt
Filed under: uncultured bacterium
Lineage: Bacteria
Description: partial 16S ribosomal RNA
Rfam family: Bacterial small subunit ribosomal RNA
Source: RNAcentral